Non-coding RNA from Paramuricea clavata, 244 nucleotides. NCBI's taxonomy places the organism in Eukaryota, Metazoa, Cnidaria, Anthozoa, Malacalcyonacea, Plexauridae. The record is from the annotation of a GenBank genome assembly.
GUUGAAUUAAAUUACAAUCCUAUACUUUAUAGUCAAUCUAGUCGUGGAUUUUCACUGAGGUCGGUUGACAUGUAGUCCGAGCUCUGUCGAUUCGAACUCCUUCAAGAAUACGCCUGUUAUGUAAAAUUAAGUCAUGCUCAAAUGAAUUCCCUUCAAUGCCAAUGGCUUAUAAUAAUCACUAUACCAAUAUUUUAAAGCAACCAUUAGCUAUAAACAUCUGGCUUGAUAUAUCAUUUCAGCGUUC